UCUUUGAUGCUUUUCAUUGAUUAUUAAGCUAUGGUGCAACAGUCAGUUUUGUCUCUUGACAAUAUAAUCAGCGAGAGACAACAAAGGAACCACCUUGUCAGAAUCAAACCCCUGAAGAUGUUCCUGCGCUUCUCUGUUCAACCUCUUUGCAUAUUCUCUCGCAUUGUCCACACCCAUCACCUUCGGAUACGUCAGCUUUCCGGUGAUCAAAUCUUUACCGGCAGUUUUCCCAAGCUCCUCGGAAGACUUGGUCUCAUCGAGUACAUCAUCCAUCACCUGAAACAUCAGUCCAACGCACCUCGCGUAGCUCUUAAGCCUCUCAAUCUCUUCAUCAGACCCACCUCCCAUUAUAGCUCCCACAACAGCCGCAGCUUCAACCAAAACCGCGGUUUUA
Molecule: long non-coding RNA, 394 nt
Organism: Arabidopsis thaliana (thale cress)
Lineage: Eukaryota; Viridiplantae; Streptophyta; Magnoliopsida; Brassicales; Brassicaceae
Product: other RNA
Exons: 1
Source: RefSeq